GUUUAAAUCGAUUAUCCAAGUCAGAGCUCGUUUUUUCCUCCCGAGUUCGCUAUCGCUACGAACACUCGGAAAUCUAGUUUACUGUUGUCUUGACCGCGGCAAGAGCGCUUGGUCUUUGUCGCAGAAGUGGGAGGGAACGCAUGGGCCGUCCUGUAUUUUUAUUGGUGUUUUGGAAUGAAAAGUGGAGUCCAGAGCUAUGAUUGGUUGCGUUGCCGGCGAUAUAAAAGUUAAAGAAUCACAUUUCCUUCUUUCUCUACUCUCUCACAAGGUCGAAGGAAGGCUUUGCCGUUGUUUAACUCCGACCAACAUCAGCGUCACCCUCGGUCACGAAUUUGGAAACAUGUCUACAAGACCAGCAGUUGGCAUUGAUCUCGGGAGCACCUACUCCUGCUUGGGUGUGUUCCAGCAUGGUUGAAAUCAUUGCCAACAACCAUGGCAACAGGACCACUCCAAGUUACGUUUCCUUCAGACUCAGACUUAUUGGUGGUGCCGUCAAUAAUCGGGUUACACAGUAUUCGUCGUCAAUGCAGUCGUUACCGUGCCUGCUUAUUUCAACGACUCCCAGCGCCAGCCAUCCAAAGAUGCUGGCACCAUCUCAGGCCUGAAUGUACUGCAUAUCUUCAAUGAGCCAACUGCUGCUCCCAUUUCCUACGGCUUGGAUAAGUAGGUGUAUGAGGAUGAGAGGGCCAUGACCAACGACAACAACCUGUUGGGCAAGUUGGCGCUGACUGGAAUACCCCCUGCACCUCGCGAUGUUCUUCAGAUUGGGGUCACCUUUGACAUUGACGCUAACGACAUCAUGAAGGCGUCUGCAGCUGGCAAGGAGGACAAGAUCACUAUCCCCAAUGACAAGGGUGUAUGAGGGUGAGAGGGCCAUGACCAAGGACAACAACCUGUUGGGCAAGUUGGCGCUGACUGGAAUACCCCCUGCACCUCGCGAUGUUCUUCAGAUUGGGGUCACCUUUGACAUUGACGCUAACGACAUCAUGAAGGCGUCUGCAGCUGGCAAGGAGGACAAGAUCACUAUCCCCAAUGACAAGGACUGCUGAUAAUGAAGAGUAUGAGCACCAGAAGGAGCAUCGUCAUGUUGUACCAAGGUGCUGGUAUGCCCGACGGCGUGGCUGGUCGAUGGUGGUGCGGCUCCUGGUGGCUGGGUUGUCUUAACUGACUUGAGGAAGUCGACGACACCAUUCCACUGUUUCUGCAACUACCUCCCCCCUCACAAGCAACUUUUGAAAUGUUCUACCUGUUUGUGAUGGAGUCAGUGAGAUUUUAAAGUUAGAAAAAAAGGUUGUCGAUGAUAACACUUCUAUUGCAACUUUGUUUGCUACAGAACAGUAAUUGUCUGUUUGCUCAACUAGGCUGUCAGAUUUCACAUGGAGUAUAUUGUGCCUUUAAGACAAAAUAAAACAUGGUGACCUUCCACCUCAACUUCUAAA
This is an RNA transcript of Oncorhynchus keta (chum salmon), 1439 nucleotides long. It is a transcript of the gene named heat shock 70 kDa protein PPF203-like, with no coding region annotated. The transcript is spliced from 6 exons. NCBI's taxonomy places the organism in Eukaryota, Metazoa, Chordata, Actinopteri, Salmoniformes, Salmonidae. The record is from RefSeq and is a predicted model, not a curated record.